GAUGAACGCUGGCGGCGUGCCUAAUACAUGCAAGUCGAGCGAACGGACGAGAAGCUUGCUUUUCUGAUGUUAGCGGCGGACGGGUGAGUAACACGUGGAUAACCUACCUAUAAGGCUGGGAUAACUUCGGGAAACCGGAGCUAAUACCGGAUAAUAUUUUGAACCGCAUGGUUCAAAAGUGAAAGACGGUCUUGCUGUCACUUAUAGAUGGAUCCGCGCUGCAUUAGCUAGUUGGUAAGGUAACGGCUUACCAAGGCAACGAUGCAUAGCCGACCUGAGAGGGUGAUCGGCCACACUGGAACUGAGACACGGUCCAGACUCCUACGGGAGGCAGCAGUAGGGAAUCUUCCGCAAUGGGCGAAAGCCUGACGGAGCAACGCCGCGUGAGUGAUGAAGGUCUUCGGAUCGUAAAACUCUGUUAUUAGGGAAGAACAUAUGUGUAAGUAACUGUGCACAUCUUGACGGUACCUAAUCAGAAAGCCACGGCUAACUACG
This 495-nucleotide ribosomal RNA is filed under the name uncultured bacterium. RNAcentral describes it as "partial 16S ribosomal RNA". It matches the Rfam family "Bacterial small subunit ribosomal RNA", at positions 28 to 505 of the family's 1533-position model. The record is from RNAcentral.